CCCCUAGAUGUUCUGGGCCGCACGCGCGCUACACUGACCAGUGCAACAAGCAUCCGUCCUUGGCCGACAGGCUCGGGCAAUCUUUGAACGCUGGUCGUGAUGGGGAUAGACUUUUGCAAUUUUUGGUCUUCAACGAGGAAUUCCUAGUAAACGCAAGUCAUCAACUUGCAUUGAUUACGUCCCUGCCCUUUGUACACACCGCCCGUCGCACCUACCGAUUGAAUGGUCCGGUGAAAUCUCGGGACGGCGGCUUGGUCGCUUGCGUCCGACUGCUGAAACUUGAUUAAACCAUAUCAUUUAGAGGAAGGUGAANUCGUAACA
This 321-nucleotide ribosomal RNA is filed under the name uncultured eukaryote. Its description in RNAcentral is "partial 18S ribosomal RNA". It matches the Rfam family "Eukaryotic small subunit ribosomal RNA", at positions 1470 to 1796 of the family's 1831-position model. The record is from RNAcentral.